CCUACGGGAGGCAGCAGUGAGGAAUAUUGGUCAAUGGCCGGAAGGCUGAACCAGCCAAGCCGCGUGAGGGAGGACGGCGCUGAGCGUCGCAGACCUCUUUUGCCGGGGGACAAAAGGCCGGACUCGUCCGGCCCUGAGGGUACCCGGAGAAAAAGCAUCGGCUAACUCCGUGCCAGCAGCCGCGGUAAUACGGAGGAUGCGAGCGUUAUCCGGAUUCAUUGGGUUUAAAGGGUGCGCAGGGGGGCGGUCAAGCCGGCGGUAAAAUCGCGGGGCUCAACCCCGCCCAGCCGUCGAAACUGGGGGCCUUGAGUGCGGGGGAGGCAUGCGGAAUGCGCGGUGUAGCGGUGAAAUGCAUAGAUAUCGCGCAGAACCCCGAUUGCGAAGGCAGCGUGCCG
Molecule: ribosomal RNA, 395 nt
Filed under: uncultured bacterium
Lineage: Bacteria
Description: partial 16S ribosomal RNA
Rfam family: Bacterial small subunit ribosomal RNA
Source: RNAcentral